Long non-coding RNA from Peromyscus californicus insignis, 979 nucleotides. RefSeq lists it as uncharacterized. The record is from RefSeq and is a predicted model, not a curated record. NCBI's taxonomy places the organism in Eukaryota, Metazoa, Chordata, Mammalia, Rodentia, Cricetidae. The transcript has 5 exons.
UCUCUCGCUGUCAGUGGAACAGAGCUGCUAAAAAUAGUUAAUUUCCCCAAGGACACCACCUUGCAUCAUGUUUUUCUAGCACUGAAUAAUUUUAGAGGGGACAAACACAGUCUGCCAGUGCCAUGAUGCAGCGUCUUCCAUGGAUGCAGCGAAGGAUGGCCUGUGCCGCUUCUUGUAGGCUCCGUGUAGACUCAGUGCUUCCACACAAAGGCGAGGGGAGAAGUGAGGAGUAGGACUGACCACUGUUCUGUGCAUCUUGAAUCUGGUUACAAGGUUUUCCUGCAUCUGCUUUCUAUAGUCGGCUUUGCUUUUUGGAUGUUAAAAACCAGAUGUGGCAGAGGCAGUGGUGAGCUUCCACCAUCUGUAUCCUGGAUCACAGCUGUACUGGUAGCCUCCCUGGUGAUGUGAGUAGCAGACAAUUCAUCCUUGUUCCACAUCUAGUAUCCUGCUAUGAAUACAACAACUGAAGUACACCUGGAGCUGAUUGAGAUGGUGGAUUCUGGACUCUGAAGUGGUGAAAGAAAGAGAUGAGCUUUGGAAUCCUUGGGAACAAAUGAGUGUGUGCAGGAGCUGGUAUACUCCCAUACAGAAUAAAGGCCCAAGACUUAAUGAAGGCAAGGGGGAAGUAGAAGCUGUGAAUGCCAUCGAUCACACGGGAGGUGGAGAGGGACUGAGAGCUGUAUGGAAGUUGGGAAUGAUCUGAGAGCUCUUCCAGCCACAGGGCAGUGCAGUUUGACUCACUCUCACUCUGCUGAUAGCACUGGCCAUGGCGGUCUUUUCCACAGAGGAGACUGGAGAGCGGAAUGCAGAACAAGUUUCCUUCAUUGCUCCGAUGGGGAGGAGAGCCGCAAGAGAUGCAAAGCCUCCGAAAACAGGCGGAUGCUAAAUAUAACAUAGAAAUCAAAAUGGCCACGAGGGCCUGGGCUUGCCGCGAGAAGAAGCCUGGGGCCGGAGGAGUGGAAGGGGCCGGAGGCGUGGA